GACGAACGCUGGCGGCGUGCUUAACACAUGCAAGUCGAACGGAAAGGCCCUGCUUUUGUGGGGUGCUCGAGUGGCGAACGGGUGAGUAACACGUGAGUAACCUGCCCUUGACUUUGGGAUAACUUCAGGAAACUGGGGCUAAUACCGGAUAGGAGCUCCUGCUGCAUGGUGGGGGUUGGAAAGUUUCGGCGGUUGGGGAUGGACUCGCGGCUUAUCAGCUUGUUGGUGGGGUAGUGGCUCACCAAGGCUUUGACGGGUAGCCGGCCUGAGAGGGUGACCGGCCACAUUGGGACUGAGAUACGGCCCAGACUCCUACGGGAGGCAGCAGUGGGGAAUAUUGCAGAAUGGGCGGAAGCCUGAGGCAGCAACGCCGCGUGCGGGAUGACGGCCUUCGGGUUGUGAACCGCUUUCGCCGGUGACGAAGCGUGAGUGACGGUAAUGAAUAAGGAAGCACCGGCUAACUACGUG
Molecule: ribosomal RNA, 468 nt
Filed under: uncultured bacterium
Lineage: Bacteria
Description: partial 16S ribosomal RNA
Rfam family: Bacterial small subunit ribosomal RNA
Source: RNAcentral